AUCUCGGGCUUGGUUAGUACUUGGAUGGGUGACCGCUUGGGAAUACCAAGUGUGAUAAGCA
Molecule: non-coding RNA, 61 nt
Organism: Ciona savignyi (Pacific transparent sea squirt)
Lineage: Eukaryota; Metazoa; Chordata; Ascidiacea; Phlebobranchia; Cionidae
Source: Rfam